CCUACGGGUGACAGCAGUGAGGAAUAUUGGUCAAUGGACGAGAGUCUGAACCAGCCAAGUAGCGUGAAUGAUGACUGCCCUAUGGGUUGUAAACUUCUUUUAUAUGGGAAUAAAAUGUUCCACGUGUGGGAUUUUGUAUGUACCAUAUGAAUAAGGAUCGGCUAACUCCGUGCCAGCAGCCGCGGUAAUACGGAGGAUCCGAGCGUUAUCCGGAUUUAUUGGGUUUAAAGGGAGCGUAGGUGGUUUGUUAAGUAAGUUGUGAAAGUGUGCGGCUCAACCGGAAAAUUGCAGUUGAAACUGGCAGUCUUGAGUACAGUAGGGGUGGGCGGAAUUCGUGGUGUAGCGGUGAAAUGCGUAGAUAUAACGAAGAACUCCGAUUGCGAAGGCAGUUCACUGGACUGUAACUGACACUGAGGCUCGAAAGUGUGGGUAGCAAACAGGAUUAGAUACCCCAGUAGUC
Molecule: ribosomal RNA, 460 nt
Filed under: uncultured bacterium
Lineage: Bacteria
Description: partial 16S ribosomal RNA
Rfam family: Bacterial small subunit ribosomal RNA
Source: RNAcentral